This 253-nucleotide ribosomal RNA is filed under the name uncultured bacterium. RNAcentral's name for it is "partial 16S ribosomal RNA". It matches the Rfam family "Bacterial small subunit ribosomal RNA", at positions 524 to 776 of the family's 1533-position model. The record is from RNAcentral.
UACGAAGGGUGCAAACGUUGCUCGGAAUCAUUGGGCGUAAAGAGCGUGUAGGCGGCUUUACAGGUCCGUUGUGAAAACUCGAGGCUCAACCUCGAGACGCCGGUGGAAACCGUAAAGCUAGAGUCCGGAAGAGGAGAGUGGAAUUCCUGGUGUAGCGGUGAAAUGCGCAGAUAUCAGGAAGAACACCCGUGGCGAAGGCGGCUCUCUGGGACGGUACUGACGCUGAGACGCGAAAGCGUGGGGAGCGAACAGG